This 2875-nucleotide ribosomal RNA is filed under the name Arcanobacterium urinimassiliense. Its description in RNAcentral is "bacterial LSU rRNA". The stretch from base 718 to 2875 matches the Rfam family "Bacterial large subunit ribosomal RNA". Lineage: Bacteria; Bacillati; Actinomycetota; Actinomycetes; Actinomycetales; Actinomycetaceae. The record is from RNAcentral.
CUCAAGCUUGCUUGGGGUACUCGAGUGGCGAACGGGUGAGUAAUACGUGAGUAACCUGCCUUCUUCUUUGGGAUAAGCCUGGGAAACUGGGUCUAAUACUGGAUAUUCUGCUUCUGCCGCAUGGUGGGGGUUGGAAAGGUUUUUCUGGUGGGGGAUGGGCUCACGGCCUAUCAGCUUGUUGGUGGGGUGAUGGCCUACCAAGGCGGUGACGGGUAGCCGGCCUGAGAGGGUGACCGGCCACAUUGGGACUGAGAUACGGCCCAGACUCCUACGGGAGGCAGCAGUGGGGAAUAUUGCACAAUGGACGGAAGUCUGAUGCAGCGACGCCGCGUGGGGGAUGAAGGCUUUCGGGUUGUAAACUCCUUUUGAUGCUGAACAAGGCUCUUUUUAGGGUUGAGGGUAGGUGUUGAAUAAGCGCCGGCUAACUACGUGCCAGCAGCCGCGGUAAUACGUAGGGCGCGAGCGUUGUCCGGAAUUAUUGGGCGUAAAGGGCUCGUAGGCGGUUUGUCGCGUCUGCUGUGAAAGACCGGGGCUUAACUCCGGGGUUGCAGUGGGUACGGGCAGACUAGAGUGCGGUAGGGGUAGCUGGAAUUCCUGGUGUAGCGGUGGAAUGCGCAGAUAUCAGGAGGAACACCGAUGGCGAAGGCAGGUUACUGGGCCGUUACUGACGCUGAGGAGCGAAAGCAUGGGGAGCGAACAGGAUUAGAUACCCUGGUAGUCCAUGCUGUAAACGUUGGACACUAGGUGUGGGGCCUUUUCCAUGGGUUCUGCGCCGUAGCUAACGCAUUAAGUGUCCCGCCUGGGGAGUACGGUCGCAAGGCUAAAACUCAAAGGAAUUGACGGGGACCCGCACAAGCGGCGGAGCAUGCGGAUUAAUUCGACGCAACGCGAAGAACCUUACCAAGGCUUGACAUACACUGGAAGACUGCAGAGAUGUGGUUGCCUUCGGGCUGGUGUACAGGUGGUGCAUGGUUGUCGUCAGCUCGUGUCGUGAGAUGUUGGGUUAAGUCCCGCAACGAGCGCAACCCUUGUCUUGUGUUGCCAUCACUUCGGGUGGGGACUCANCACUGGUCUAGUGAUUCUGCGCCGACAAUGUAGCGGGGCUAAGUACACCGCCGAAACCGUGGCAAUAUUUUGUAUUGGGUAGGGGAGCGUCGUGCGUGAGGUGAAGCGAUGGUGUGAACUUGUUGUGGAUUGCGUGCGAGUGAGAAUUCAGGCAUGAGUAGCGAUUUGAUAGGUGAGAAUCCUAUCCGCCGUAUGACUAAGGGUUCCAGGGCCAGGUUGUUCCGCCCUGGGUUAGUCGGGUCCUAAGGCGAGGCCGUCAGGCGUAGUCGAUGGGUGACCAGUUGUUAUUCUGGUACCGGUGUAGAACCGUCCGUGCUGAAGCGAGGGAUACUAACCAUCCCGGAUAUUGCUUGACACUUUCGGGUGUUGGGUGGUUGAUGGCGUGGGAACUGAUCUUGUGGUAGGCAAGCGUGUUAACAGGGGUGACGCAGUGAGGUAGCUUCCGCGUGGCUUAUGGCUUGCCGCGUUUAACAGUGUGGCCUGUUUCCUAGGUAAAUCCGGGAAAUGUUUAAGGUGAGGCUGGAUGAUGACCUUUUUUUAAGGGAAGUAGGGUGAUCCUGUACUGUCUAGAAAAGCCUCGACGUGAGGUUCGAGCCGCCCGUACCCGAAACCGACACAGGUAGUUGGGUAGAGUAUAUUAAGGCGUUCGAGUGAAUCGUGGUUAAGGAACUCGGCAAAAUGCCCCCGUAACUUUGGGAGAAGGGGGACCGGAACCUUGAGGCCUUUUUGCAGGCUAGGGGUGAUGGUGGCAGAAACCAGGGAGAAGCGACUGUUUAUCAAAAACAUAGGUCUGUGCGAACACGUAAGUGGAUGUAUACGGACUGACGCCUGCCCGGUGCUGGAAGGUUAAGAGGACUGGUUAGUCAUCCUUGUGGUGGCGAAGCUGAGAAUUUAAGCCCCAGUAAACGGCGGUGGUAACUAUAACCAUCCUAAGGUAGCGAAAUUCCUUGUCGGGUAAGUUCCGACCUGCACGAAUGGCGUAACGACUUCUCCACUGUCUCAACCGCGAACUCGGUGAAAUUGCAUUACGAGUAAAGAUGCUCGUUACGCGCAGAAGGACGGAAAGACCCCGGGACCUUUACUAUAGCUUGGUAUUGGUGUUUGGUACGUUUUGUGUAGGAUAGGUGGGAGACUGUGAAGCUCAGACGCUAGUUUGGGUGGAGUCAUUGUUGAAAUACCACUCUGAUCGUGCUGGAUGUCUAACCUUGGACCAUGAUCUGGUUUAGGGACAGUGCCUGGUGGGUAGUUUAACUGGGGCGGUUGCCUCCUAAAUUGUAACGGAGGCGCUCAAUGGUUCCCUCAGCCUGGUUGGUAAUCAGGUGGCGAGUGUAAGUGUAGAAGGGAGCUUGACUGUGAGACUGACGGGUCGAGCAGGUACGAAAGUAGGAACUAGUGAUCCGGCCAUGGCUUAUGGUAGCGUGGUCGCUCAACGGAUAAAAGGUACCCCGGGGAUAACAGGCUGAUCCUGCCCAAGAGUUCAUAUCGACGGCAUGGUUUGGCACCUCGAUGUCGGCUCGUCGCAUCCUGGGGCUGGAGUAGGUCCCAAGGGUUGGGCUGUUCGCCCAUUAAAGCGGCACGCGAGCUGGGUUCAGAACGUCGUGAGACAGUUCGGUCCCUAUCCUCUGCGCGCGUUAGAAACUUGUGGAGGGCUGUCCCUAGUACGAGAGGACCGGGACGGACGAACCUCUGGUGUGCCAGUUGUACCGCCAGGUGCAUGGCUGGUUUGCUACGUUCGGUAAGGAUAACCGCUGAAAGCAUCUAAGUGGGAAGCCUGCUCCGAGAUAAGGUUUCGAUAACCCUUUAGGGUUGG